AAUAUUGCGCAAUGGAGGGAACACUGACGCAGCGACGCCGCGUGUGCGAUUAAGGUCUGCGGACCCUCAAGACCUGUCCUUGGGGGACACGGUCUUCUGCCUCUACGGUCCCUGAGCAGGAAGCCCCAGCCAUCUGCUUGCCAGCAGGCGCGGUCAUACGUAGGGGGCAACCGUUGUCCGGAAUUAUUGGGCGUACAGGGUGCGUAGGCGGCCUUUUAAGUCUGAUGUGAAAGCCCACGGCUUAACCGUGGGACUGCAUUUGAAACUGGAGGGCUUGAGUAUCGGAGAGGGUAGUGGAAUUCCCAGUGUAGCGGUGGAAUGCGUAGAUAUUGGGAGGAACACCAGUGGCGAAGGCGACUACCUGGACCAAAACUGACGCUGAGGCACGAAAGCUAGGGGAGCAAAC
RNAcentral lists this ribosomal RNA (406 nucleotides) under uncultured bacterium. RNAcentral's name for it is "partial 16S ribosomal RNA". It matches the Rfam family "Bacterial small subunit ribosomal RNA", at positions 360 to 773 of the family's 1533-position model. The record is from RNAcentral.